This 787-nucleotide unclassified non-coding RNA is filed under the name Hevea brasiliensis (rubber tree). Lineage: Eukaryota; Viridiplantae; Streptophyta; Magnoliopsida; Malpighiales; Euphorbiaceae. The record is from RNAcentral.
AGAAUAUCAUCUCCUCGUUGAAUGUAGUAUAGAAGUAGAGAACAUAGAAUAGUAUCAUCUCAAGAAGUUAAUGGUAAAACCAUUUUUAGCUUAAAAAGGAGGAAAAUAUGUUGCAGCUGUUUUGAAUUUUUUGAUGUACUCUUGGGAUGUUAUAAUGGAGAAAAAGGAGUUUAUUGCUGACCUUAACUAAUUCAUGUUAAAGUCUGGUUGAGUUGAGUACAUACAUACUGACACCUAAAAGUCGGCAGCAUUUCUAUGGAUGCCUUUUCUGAUGAAAAAUUUGCAGUUAAGAUUUUGCUUAUUCUUUGGCCUAGGUCCUGAAAAUCUGUACUGCAGGAUCAUUGUGAUGAAAAACAAAACCAAGAGAACAAAAACACAAGUAACCGCUUGUCUUAGAACUUGAAUCAUUUGCAAUCAAUCAUAGUAAAUCUUCAAAAUUUAAUAAUUAUAAAACUACAUAUUUCUCAUGGUAAUUCUAAAUAUUGAUCCUAAAUCUUAAACUUUACAUAAAAUAAUUGAAUGGAAAUAGUUUCCAAUAUCAUUUUCUUGUCUGCACCACAUUGUAUCAAGAAUAUCUCUCUCUCACUCCCCCUGCACAGAUACCCAGUCCACUCAAGUUUCACCUGACAUGAGUAUUGUGUGUUAAGCAUCAUGUUUUACAUAUUUUGACUAAAUUCAUCUCUGCCAAACCUCAGAGCUUCGCGGGAUAGAUCAUACAAUUUUGAUGAGGGCAUUGAAACUACUAGAACAAAAAGGGAAGCUUGCAAUCUUUAAAGGAAGUUCAACC